RNAcentral lists this unclassified non-coding RNA (649 nucleotides) under Hevea brasiliensis (rubber tree). The record is from RNAcentral. Lineage: Eukaryota; Viridiplantae; Streptophyta; Magnoliopsida; Malpighiales; Euphorbiaceae.
GGCUUGUGAGUGGGCAAAAGACAACAUAAGAAGUAAUGCUGUUGCACCUUGGUACAUCAAAACCUCUAUGGUGGAACAAAUCCUCAGCAAUGAGGCAUAUUUAGAAGAGGUAUAUUCUAGAACUCCUCUUCGGCGCCUUGGGGAUGCAACAGAGGUUUCAUCUGUGGUGGCAUUCCUUUGUUUACCUGCAUCAUCUUACAUCACUGGCCAGAUUAUUUGUGUUGAUGGAGGAAUGUCUGUGAAUGGUUUCUUCCCAAGUCAUGGUUAGAAGUGAUUACUUUAUUGAUUACCACCCUUCCCAUGAGAAGAUGAGCAUUGUGAUUGGGUAAAUAUUAGCUUCUGAGUUCCUGUUGAGAACCCUCAGAGCCAAAGGAGAUCUUACCAGUGACCUGCUAUGGCAAUCCUUCUCAUUUUAAUAACUACUUGGCUAUAGUUUUUCCUUUGCCUUUACUGGGUCUUUCUCACUUGUAUCAGUUGCUCUAUCUCUUUCAUGUGCAAGCCUUACAUUCAUGUGAAGCCUGAUUUUACUUUCAUUCCAUGGGGUUUUCCUGUUGUAUGAUUGACAAAUUUGCAUUGUGAGCAAUGUUUCUAAUGAGGAAAGUAAGUUAAUUGGAUUUUGGUAGUAUUAACUUUAUUAAUAUGAACUCUC